Molecule: ribosomal RNA, 492 nt
Filed under: uncultured bacterium
Lineage: Bacteria
Description: partial 16S ribosomal RNA
Rfam family: Bacterial small subunit ribosomal RNA
Source: RNAcentral
UGGGGAAUAUUGCACAAUGGGCGAAAGCCUGAUGCAGCAACGCCGCGUGCGGGAUGACGGCCUUCGGGUUGUAAACCGCUUUCAGCAGGGACGAAGGUUUUCUGACGGUACCUGCAGAAGAAGCACCGGCUAACUACGUGCCAGCAGCCGCGGUGAUACGUAGGGUGCGAGCGUUGUCCGGAAUUAUUGGGCGUAAAGAGCUUGUAGGCGGUCCGUUGCGUCGGAAGUGAAAACUCAGGGCUUAACCCUGAGCCUGCUUUCGAUACGGGCGGACUUGAGGGAUGUAGGGGAGAACGGAAUUCCUGGUGGAGCGGUGGAAUGCGCAGAUAUCAGGAGGAACACCAGUGGCGAAGGCGGUUCUCUGGACAUUUCCUGACGCUGAGAAGCGAAAGCGUGGGGAGCAAACAGGCUUAGAUACCCUGGUAGUCCACGCCGUAAACGGUGGGCACUAGGUGUGGGACCCAUUCCACGGGUUCCGUGCCGUAGCUAACG